UGCGUUCCCGGAAUAUUUUCUUUCAUAUCUUGAUGACAGAGUUUCAACACGGCUACGACCGCGACGCGGCUGCUUGCGGAGCGGCUCAAACAAAAAAUAAUUCAUCAAUUUCAGAAUGCUGGAAAAUCAAGCGCUCUGGGCAAGAAUA
This is a non-coding RNA of Caenorhabditis elegans, 148 nucleotides long. NCBI's taxonomy places the organism in Eukaryota, Metazoa, Nematoda, Chromadorea, Rhabditida, Rhabditidae. The record is from Ensembl.